This is a non-coding RNA of Desulfurella amilsii, 91 nucleotides long. The record is from Rfam. NCBI's taxonomy places the organism in Bacteria, Pseudomonadati, Campylobacterota, Desulfurellia, Desulfurellales, Desulfurellaceae.
GGAGAGGUGGCCGAGUUGGCCUAAGGCGCUCGCCUGCUAAGCGAGUGUAGGGGCAAAACCUCUACCGCGGGUUCGAAUCCCGCCCUCUCCG